CAGUUCCCUUCAGAUAGCAACAAUUUGAGUUCAGAGUGCAAGGACUUGUGUCAGAAAUUGUUACGGCGCAAUCCAUUGGAACGCCUAACAUUUGAAGAGUUUUUUAAUCACCCAUUUCUAUCUCAGCAGUCACCAUAUUCGAGGAGUAGGAGGGAAUCACGAAUGGCAG
This is a long non-coding RNA of Pyrus x bretschneideri (Chinese white pear), 169 nucleotides long. RefSeq lists it as uncharacterized. The record is from RefSeq and is a predicted model, not a curated record. NCBI's taxonomy places the organism in Eukaryota, Viridiplantae, Streptophyta, Magnoliopsida, Rosales, Rosaceae. The transcript has 3 exons.